UACUAGUUGGUAUAGUGGAUAGAACACAAGACUUGCAAUCUGGAAGACUUGAGUUCAAAUCCUUGUCUAGUAU
This 73-nucleotide transfer RNA is filed under the name Monodelphis domestica (gray short-tailed opossum). It matches the Rfam family "tRNA". Rfam says of the family: Transfer RNA (tRNA) molecules are approximately 80 nucleotides in length. Their secondary structure includes four short double-helical elements and three loops (D, anti-codon, and T loops). The record is from Rfam by way of RNAcentral. Lineage: Eukaryota; Metazoa; Chordata; Mammalia; Didelphimorphia; Didelphidae.